Molecule: ribosomal RNA, 301 nt
Filed under: uncultured bacterium
Lineage: Bacteria
Description: partial 16S ribosomal RNA
Rfam family: Bacterial small subunit ribosomal RNA
Source: RNAcentral
CAGUAGCCACGGGAAUACAGAGGAUGCAAGCGUUAUCCGGAAUGAUUGGGCGUAAAGCGUCUGUAGGUGGCUUUUCAAGUCCGCCGUCAAAUCCCAGGGCUCAACCCUGGACAGGCGGUGGAAACUACCAAGCUGGAGUACGGUAGGGGCAGAGGGAACUUCCGGUGGAGCGGUGAAAUGCGUUGAGAUCGAAAAGAACACCAACAGCGAAAGCACUCUGCUGGGACGACACUGACACUAAGAGACGAAAGCUAGGGGAGCAAAUGGGAUUAGAGACCCCGGUAGUCCCUGUCUCUUAUAC